GACGAACCGAGCGAACGUUGUUCGGAAUCACUGGGCUUAAAGGGCGCGUAGGCGGGCUGUCAAGUCUGGGGUGAAAUCCCGCGGCUCAACCGUGGAACUGCCUCAGAUACUGACGGCCUCGAGGGAGAUAGGGGCGAGCGGAACUAAUGGUGGAGCGGUGAAAUGCGUUGAUAUCAACUGGAACUCCGGUGGCGAAGGCGGCACGCCGGACCUUUUCUGACGCUGAGGCGCGAAAGCCAGGGGAGCAAACGGG
RNAcentral lists this ribosomal RNA (253 nucleotides) under uncultured bacterium. RNAcentral's name for it is "partial 16S ribosomal RNA". It matches the Rfam family "Bacterial small subunit ribosomal RNA", at positions 524 to 776 of the family's 1533-position model. The record is from RNAcentral.